UACGGAGGAUCCAAGCGUUAUCCGGAUUUAUUGGGUUUAAAGGGUGCGUAGGCGGCCUGUUAAGUCAGGGGUGAAAGACGGUAGCUUAACUAUCGCAGUGCCCUUGAUACUGAUGGGCUUGAAUGUACUUGAGGUAGGCGGAAUGUGACAAGUAGCGGUGAAAUGCAUAGAUAUUGUCAAGAACACCAAUUGCGAAGGCAGCUUACUAAAUUAUAACUGACGCUGAGGCACGAAAGUGUGGGUAUCAAACAGG
This 253-nucleotide ribosomal RNA is filed under the name uncultured bacterium. RNAcentral describes it as "partial 16S ribosomal RNA". It matches the Rfam family "Bacterial small subunit ribosomal RNA", at positions 524 to 776 of the family's 1533-position model. The record is from RNAcentral.